Molecule: ribosomal RNA, 241 nt
Filed under: uncultured Planctomycetota bacterium
Lineage: Bacteria; Pseudomonadati; Planctomycetota
Description: uncultured planctomycete partial 16S ribosomal RNA
Rfam family: Bacterial small subunit ribosomal RNA
Source: RNAcentral
GUAGGUGGGUUUGUAAGUCAGACGUGAAAGCCUUCUGUUCAACGGAAGAAUUGCAUCUGAAACCACAAACCUUGAGUGUAGGAGGGGAGAAUGGAACUUCUGGUGGAGCGGUGAAAUGCGUAGAUAUCAGAAGGAACGCCGGCGGCGAAAGCGAUUCUCUGGCCUAUUACUGACACUCAGUGUGCGAAAGCUAGGGGAGCAAACGGGAUUAGAUACCCCGGUAGUCCUAGCCGUAAACGAU